ACCAAGGAAAAAAGAAUGCCAAUUGAGAUGGGAAACAGCUUGCCUCAAACUAAUUGUAGUCAUGAACCAAUCGUUGCUGCCAUAUGAUCAAAACUCAACCACUAGUUCACAUAACUGUUUUUCUUUAGCCUCAAUUCUUUUGACCCAAUGAUUUAACUAAACGAAAUAUUAUUUCAUUACUUAAUCUAACUGGUCGUUCCACUUGCACAAAAAUUCAUGCUUCUUAUCCACACUACGAGAAAACAUCCAUCCACCAUCUCAUGCACUCCUACUCUAUUGAACUUAACAUCCAUGUAGUUCAUAGAAAAACGUCAAAUUCAAAACAACACACGUCACAUUUCCCGAACAGAUCGCAGCUCUCAUCACAUUUUAAUGGGAUGACAAUAAAUAAAAAUGUCAUUACAAUUUUCAUACAGAAGUUGUGAAAUUAUUC
RNAcentral lists this long non-coding RNA (433 nucleotides) under Olea europaea subsp. europaea. The record is from RNAcentral. Lineage: Eukaryota; Viridiplantae; Streptophyta; Magnoliopsida; Lamiales; Oleaceae.